This 301-nucleotide ribosomal RNA is filed under the name uncultured bacterium. Its description in RNAcentral is "partial 16S ribosomal RNA". It matches the Rfam family "Bacterial small subunit ribosomal RNA", at positions 509 to 807 of the family's 1533-position model. The record is from RNAcentral.
CAGCCGCCACGGUAAUACGUAGGGUGCAAGCGUUAAUCGGAAUUACUGGGCGUAAAGCGUGCGCAGGCGGGUUGUUAAGACAGAUGUGAAAUCCCCGGGCUCAACCUGGGAACUGCAUUUGUGACUGGCAAGCUAGAGUCUGGCAGAGGGGGGUGGAAUUCCGCGUGUAGCAGUGAAAUGCGUAGAUAUGCGGAGGAACACCGAUGGCGAAGGCAGCCUCCUGGGCCAAUACUGACGCUCAUGCACGAAAGCGUGGGGAGCAAACAGGAUUAGAUACCCCAGUAGUCCCUGUCUCUUAUAC